Molecule: long non-coding RNA, 575 nt
Filed under: Salvia miltiorrhiza (redroot sage)
Lineage: Eukaryota; Viridiplantae; Streptophyta; Magnoliopsida; Lamiales; Lamiaceae
Description: long non-coding RNA (SMIL_LNC007489)
Source: RNAcentral
AGAAAAGAGGACAUCCACAUGUUCAUUGCAUUGGUUUCUGAGCAAAAUAAAGGUGAGUGUAAGGUGGAUAUUCUACAUGAAACAACGAUGUUAAUAGUUGAAUGACGUCAUCAACGAUAUAGGAUAGUAUGCAAAUACAUUAUUGUUUGUCAUCAUCAUCAUAUUAUUAUUAUUAUUAUUAUUAUUAUUAUUAUUAUUAUUAUUAUUAUUAUUAUUAUUAUUAUUAUUACUUUUCAAACAAAAUAGUCCAACAAACACCAACACUCAAACCAAGGGGUGGUGUAACAAUCAAGCGAAGAAUAUUGGACUCAUCAAGUGAAAAAUUCGAUGAGACUUUGAGGUAACUUUUGUAUGUACUUGUACAAUUCUAUCUAUGACUUUUGGUCUAUUACAACAUGUCGAUGAUAUUUUAUUAACAUUUUGAGGUUGUCUUUUGUGUGUACAUUGUAUAUGCCUCAAUGUAGCUUCCGAUUGAGUGCACUGUGUAUAUAUGAUGCAUAAUGUCUUAAAAAUAUUUAAGUAGUUUGUAUAUAAAAUGUACUUGUGGAUUGCUGCAAUUUUUAUGAGUUAGUGAC